GUGACUGCGUACCUUUUGUAUAAUGGGUCAGCGACUUAUAUUCUGUAGCAAGGUUAACCGAAUAGGGGAGCCGAAGGGAAACCGAGUCUUAACUGGGCGUUAAGUUGCAGGGUAUAGACCCGAAACCCGGUGAUCUAGCCAUGGGCAGGUUGAAGGUUGGGUAACACUAACUGGAGGACCGAACCGACUAAUGUUGAAAAAUUAGCGGAUGACUUGUGGCUGGGGGUGAAAGGCCAAUCAAACCGGGAGAUAGCUGGUUCUCCCCGAAAGCUAUUUAGGUAGCGCCUCGUGAAUUCAUCUCCGGGGGUAGAGCACUGUUUCGGCAAGGGGGUCAUCCCGACUUACCAACCCGAUGCAAACUGCGAAUACCGGAGAAUGUUAUCACGGGAGACACACGGCGGGUGCUAACGUCCGUCGUGAAGAGGGAAACAACCCAGACCGCCAGCUAAGGUCCCAAAGUCAUGGUUAAGUGGGAAACGAUGUGGGAAGGCCCAGACAGCCAGGAUGUUGGCUUAGAAGCAGCCAUCAUUUAAAGAAAGCGUAAUAGCUCACUGGUCGAGUCGGCCUGCGCGGAAGAUGUAACGGGGCUAAACCAUGCACCGAAGCUGCGGCAGCGACGCUGAUGCGUUGUUGGGUAGGGGAGCGUUCUGUAAGCCUGUGAAGGUGUGCUGUGAGGCAUGCUGGAGGUAUCAGAAGUGCGAAUGCUGACAUAAGUAACGAUAAAGCGGGUGAAAAGCCCGCUCGCCGGAAGACCAAGGGUUCCUGUCCAACGUUAAUCGGGGCAGGGUGAGUCGACCCCUAAGGCGAGGCCGAAAGGCGUAGUCGAUGGGAAACAGGUUAAUAUUCCUGUACUUGGUGUUACUGCGAAGGGGGGACGGAGAAGGCUAUGUUGGCCGGGCGACGGUUGUCCCGGUUUAAGCGUGUAGGCUGGUUUUCCAGGCAAAUCCGGAAAAUCAAGGCUGAGGCGUGAUGACGAGGCACUACGGUGCUGAAGCAACAAAUGCCCUGCUUCCAGGAAAAGCCUCUAAGCAUCAGGUAACAUCAAAUCGUACCCCAAACCGACACAGGUGGUCAGGUAGAGAAUACCAAGGCGCUUGAGAGAACUCGGGUGAAGGAACUAGGCAAAAUGGUGCCGUAACUUCGGGAGAAGGCACGCUGAUAUGUAGGUGAAGUCCCUCGCGGAUGGAGCUGAAAUCAGUCGAAGAUACCAGCUGGCUGCAACUGUUUAUUAAAAACACAGCACUGUGCAAACACGAAAGUGGACGUAUACGGUGUGACGCCUGCCCGGUGCCGGAAGGUUAAUUGAUGGGGUUAGCGCAAGCGAAGCUCUUGAUCGAAGCCCCGGUAAACGGCGGCCGUAACUAUAACGGUCCUAAGGUAGCGAAAUUCCUUGUCGGGUAAGUUCCGACCUGCACGAAUGGCGUAAUGAUGGCCAGGCUGUCUCCACCCGAGACUCAGUGAAAUUGAACUCGCUGUGAAGAUGCAGUGUACCCGCGGCAAGACGGAAAGACCCCGUGAACCUUUACUAUAGCUUGACACUGAACAUUGAGCCUUGAUGUGUAGGAUAGGUGGGAGGCUUUGAAGUGUGGACGCCAGUCUGCAUGGAGCCGACCUUGAAAUACCACCCUUUAAUGUUUGAUGUUCUAACGUUGACCCGUGAUCCGGGUUGCGGACAGUGUCUGGUGGGUAGUUUGACUGGGGCGGUCUCCUCCUAAAGAGUAACGGAGGAGCACGAAGGUUGGCUAAUCCUGGUCGGACAUCAGGAGGUUAGUGCAAUGGCAUAAGCCAGCUUGACUGCGAGCGUGACGGCGCGAGCAGGUGCGAAAGCAGGUCAUAGUGAUCCGGUGGUUCUGAAUGGAAGGGCCAUCGCUCAACGGAUAAAAGGUACUCCGGGGAUAACAGGCUGAUACCGCCCAAGAGUUCAUAUCGACGGCGGUGUUUGGCACCUCGAUGUCGGCUCAUCACAUCCUGGGGCUGAAGUAGGUCCCAAGGGUAUGGCUGUUCGCCAUUUAAAGUGGUACGCGAGCUGGGUUUAGAACGUCGUGAGACAGUUCGGUCCCUAUCUGCCGUGGGCGCUGGAGAACUGAGGGGGGCUGCUCCUAGUACGAGAGGACCGGAGUGGACGCAUCACUGGUGUUCGGGUUGUCAUGCCAAUGGCACUGCCCGGUAGCUAAAUGCGGAAGAGAUAAGUGCUGAAAGCAUCUAAGCACGAAACUUGCCCCGAGAUGAGUUCUCCCUGACUCCUUGAGAGUCCUGAAGGAACGUUGAAGACGACGACG
This 2279-nucleotide ribosomal RNA is filed under the name Escherichia coli. RNAcentral describes it as "bacterial LSU rRNA". It matches the Rfam family "Bacterial large subunit ribosomal RNA", at positions 593 to 2852 of the family's 2925-position model. Lineage: Bacteria; Pseudomonadati; Pseudomonadota; Gammaproteobacteria; Enterobacterales; Enterobacteriaceae. The record is from RNAcentral.